AUAAAGGUGGCAGAAUAUAUGCAUUGGGCUUAGGACUCAAAUAUAAAGAUUAAAAUUCUUUCUUUUAUAAUGUACCUAU
RNAcentral lists this transfer RNA (79 nucleotides) under Potamopyrgus antipodarum. RNAcentral's name for it is "tRNA-Leu". The stretch from base 1 to 69 matches the Rfam family "tRNA". From Rfam's summary of the family: Transfer RNA (tRNA) molecules are approximately 80 nucleotides in length. Their secondary structure includes four short double-helical elements and three loops (D, anti-codon, and T loops). Further hydrogen bonds mediate the characteristic L-shaped molecular structure. tRNAs have two regions of fundamental functional importance: the anti-codon, which is responsible for specific mRNA codon recognition, and the 3' end, to which the tRNAs corresponding amino acid is attached (by aminoacyl-tRNA synthetases). tRNAs cope with the degeneracy of the genetic code in two manners: having more than one tRNA (with a specific anti-codon) for a particular amino acid; and 'wobble' base-pairing, i.e. permitting non-standard base-pairing at the 3rd anti-codon position. RNAcentral also lists the same sequence under 1 other name. The record is from RNAcentral. Lineage: Eukaryota; Metazoa; Mollusca; Gastropoda; Littorinimorpha; Tateidae.